Molecule: ribosomal RNA, 671 nt
Filed under: Escherichia coli
Lineage: Bacteria; Pseudomonadati; Pseudomonadota; Gammaproteobacteria; Enterobacterales; Enterobacteriaceae
Description: partial 23S ribosomal RNA
Rfam family: Bacterial large subunit ribosomal RNA
Source: RNAcentral
GGUUAAGCGACUAAGCGUACACGGUGGAUGCCCUGGCAGUCAGAGGCGAUGAAGGACGUGCUAAUCUGCGAUAAGCGUCGGUGAGGUGAUAUGAACCGUUAUAACCGGCGAUUUCCGAAUGGGGAAACCCAGUGUGUUUCGACACACUAUCAUUAACUGAAUCCAUAGGUUAAUGAGGCGAACCGGGGGAACUGAAACAUCUAAGUACCCCGAGGAAAAGAAAUCAACCGAGAUUCCCCCAGUAGCGGCGAGCGAACGGGGAGCAGCCCAGAGCCUGAAUCAGUGUGUGUGUUAGUGGAAGCGUCUGGAAAGGCGCGCGAUACAGGGUGACAGCCCCGUACACAAAAAUGCACAUGCUGUGAGCUCGAUGAGUAGGGCGGGACACGUGGUAUCCUGUCUGAAUAUGGGGGGACCAUCCUCCAAGGCUAAAUACUCCUGACUGACCGAUAGUGAACCAGUACCGUGAGGGAAAGGCGAAAAGAACCCCGGCGAGGGGAGUGAAAAAGAACCUGAAACCGUGUACGUACAAGCAGUGGGAGCCUCUUUUAUGGGGUGACUGCGUACCUUUUGUAUAAUGGGUCAGCGACUUAUAUUCUGUAGCAAGGUUAACCGAAUAGGGGAGCCGAAGGGAAACCGAGUCUUAACUGGGCGUUAAGUUGCAGGGUAUAGAC